UACGGGAGGCAGCAGUGGGGAAUAUUGCACAAUGGGCGAAAGCCUGAUGCAGCUAUGCCGCGUGUAUGAAGAAGGCCUUAGGGUUGUAAAGUACUUUCAUCGGGGAGGAAAAAACAAAACUAAUAAUUUUAUUUCUUGACGUUACCCGAAAAAGAAGCACCGGCUAACUCCGUGCCAGCAGCCGCGGUAAUACGGAGGGUGCUAGCGUUAAUCAGAAUUACUGGGCGUAAAGAGCACGUAGGUGGUUUUUUUAAAGUCAGAUGUGAAAUCCCUGGGCUUAACCUAGGAACUGCAUUUUGAAACUGAAAUACUAGAGUAUCGUAGAGGGAGGUAGAAUUCUAGGUGUAGCGGUGAAAUGCGUAGAUAUCUGGAGGAAUACCUGUGGCGAAAGCGGCCUCCUAAACGAAUACUGACACUGAGGUGCGAAAAGCGUGGGGAGCAAAACAGGGAUUAGAAACC
Molecule: ribosomal RNA, 459 nt
Filed under: uncultured bacterium
Lineage: Bacteria
Description: bacterial SSU rRNA
Rfam family: Bacterial small subunit ribosomal RNA
Source: RNAcentral